UACGUAGGGAGCAAGCGUUGUCCGGAAUCAUUGGGCGUAAAGCGCGCGUAGGCGGCCCUGUAAGUCCGCUGUGAAAGUCAAAGGCUCAACCUUUGAAAGCCGGUGGAUACUGCAGGGCUAGAGUCCGGAAGAGGCGAGUGGAAUUCCUGGUGUAGCGGUGGAAUGCGCAGAUAUCAGGAGGAACACCAAUAGCGAAGGCAGCUCGCUGGGACGGUACUGAC
Molecule: ribosomal RNA, 221 nt
Filed under: uncultured bacterium
Lineage: Bacteria
Description: partial 16S ribosomal RNA
Rfam family: Bacterial small subunit ribosomal RNA
Source: RNAcentral